Molecule: ribosomal RNA, 494 nt
Filed under: uncultured bacterium
Lineage: Bacteria
Description: partial 16S ribosomal RNA
Rfam family: Bacterial small subunit ribosomal RNA
Source: RNAcentral
ACUCAAAUGAAUAGACGGGGACCCGCACAAGCGGUGGAUGAUGUGGAUUAAUUCGAUGCAACGCGAAAAACCUUACCUACCCUUGACAUGGCAGGAACUUUCCAGAGAUGGAUUGGUGCUCGAAAGAGAACCUGCACACAGGUGCUGCAUGGCUGUCGUCAGCUCGUGUCGUGAGAUGUUGGGUUAAGUCCCGCAACGAGCGCAACCCUUGUCAUUAGUUGCUACGAAAGGGCACUCUAAUGAGACUGCCGGUGACAAACCGGAGGAAGGUGGGGAUGACGUCAAGUCCUCAUGGCCCUUAUGGGUAGGGCUUCACACGUCAUACAAUGGUCGGUACAGAGGGUUGCCAAGCCGCGAGGUGGAGCCAAUCCCAGAAAACCGAUCGUAGUCCGGAUCGCAGUCUGCAACUCGACUGCGUGAAGUCGGAAUCGCUAGUAAUCGCGGAUCAGAAUGUCGCGGUGAAUACGUUCCCGGGUCUUGCACACACCGCCCGU